Carassius carassius (crucian carp) is the source of this 2169-nucleotide long non-coding RNA. RefSeq lists it as uncharacterized. Lineage: Eukaryota; Metazoa; Chordata; Actinopteri; Cypriniformes; Cyprinidae. The transcript has 3 exons. The record is from RefSeq and is a predicted model, not a curated record.
AUCUUCAAGUGGCUUAAUUUAUAUUAAGAUACUUUCAUUGCAAAGAAAUGGUAAUCGUCUCCUUAUUAAUGUACCAUUGUAUUUACAUGUCACUAACACGAAGAUACUUUAAAGACCAUGUACUAUGUAAAAAUUCUAAUUAGUACCACCAUACUUUUGUAUAUGCAUUCGGUACUAAUGACUUCCAUCCAUUUUCCAAACCACGUGCAUUGCAGUGAUAACCCGCUACUCCAAUAAUGAAAUAAUAAUAAAAAAAAAAUCUUGUGCUCUUUCGUUUUUAUAUUAGGGGUGUAACGUUACACAUAUUUUCAGAAUGGUGUUUCAUUUGAAACUUCUAGUUCUAUUUAUGUAAAUUUUAAUGAAUCAAUAUUGAUUCUUAAAUUCAGUUGAUUUUUUAGUCUAUGAUGUUUCAGUUGAUGCGUGAAUAAAACUUUGCUAGACAUUAUAGGCUAGCGCGCCUCCUGUCCAGUAAUCACAAUAUGCGCUGUAUUCUUAUAUCCUUAUAUUCGUUAAGAAUCAACAUUCUGAUGCUCUUUAAUGUGGCAUGACAGAUGGCUGUAGCCCCAGUUCAAAUGGCAGCAUGGAGUGAGUGAACAUGAUAAUUUCUUCCUCUUUACUACUAUUUAUAACAUAAAAUAAACAUGAAUGUUCAGUAUUUUAACCAUGAAAAGACUAAAAUAAAAGAGCUUAUAAACAUCGCCUUAAGAUACGUUUACCUCAGGUAGCCUAAUGCGACUUUAAUGAGCUAUUUUAUUUAAGUCUUUCUGUGGUUGAAGCGUACCAAACUAAAAACACCUGUACCGGAAAACCUUCUAUGAAUAUAUAUGUAACAUUACACCCCUAAUAUCAAAAGAGCACAAAUAUAUAUAGAACAAAUAUAUGCAGAUCAAAUAUGAAAUUAUUUAGUCAACAAAAACAUGUAAAGUAACCCAGAAUAUAUUUUAUAUUUUCAGUUCUUUAAAGUUGCUAACUUUUGCUUUGAUAACAGCUUUGCACAUUCCUGGCAUUCUCCUAAUAAGCAAUGAGUCACAUGGAAUAGUUUUUCAACAAUUUUGAAUAUUAGCUGCUUUUCCUUCACUCUCUUGUCCAACUCAUCCCAAACCACCUCAGUUGGAUUUAGAUCAGGUGAUUGUGGAGGCCAGAUCAAAUUAUGCAGCACUCCAUCACUCUUCUUCUUGGACAAAUAGCUCUUACAUAACCUAGAGGUGUGCUUGGGGUCAUGAUCCUGCAGGAAAACAAAUGAUGGCCCCACAAAGUGCAAACCUGCUGUGAUGUCGAUGUAAAAUGCUGUGGUACUCACGCUGGUUAAGUGUGCCUUCAAUUUUGUCACAAGCAACGCAUCACUCCUUCUCCAUGCUUCUCAGUGGGAGCUACAUGAACUGUCCAUUCACACAGUGAUAUACUGUAUGUGGUGUACUGUACUGUUGUGUAAAAAUUUCAAAUUUGCACUCAUCAGACCAAAGGACAGUUUUCCACUGAUGUAAUGUCCAUUUCUUGUGUUUCUUGGCCAAAGCAAGUCUCUUCUGCUUGUUCUUCCGAAAGUUAUGGUUCCUUUGCCGCAAUUCAACCAUGAAGGUCUGACUCACAAAGUCUCCUCUGAACAGAGGAUGUGUGCCACUUGAACUCCUAGUAGCAUUUAUGAGGGUUGUAAAGGUGCUCUCAAUGGGCGGCUUCUGUAGCUGAUAUUUCUAAUAAACCUAUCCUCUGCAGCAGAGGUAGCUCUUGGUCUUCCUUUCUUCAGACAGUCCUCAUGAGAGCCAGUUGCAUCAUAGCAUUUUCUGUUUUUGGCGACUGCAUUCGGGGUGAUAUUCAAAGUUCUUGAGGUUUUUCUGAUUGACUGAUCUUCAUUUCUUAAUGAUGGACUGUCUUUUCUCUUUACUUAUGGCAAUUGAGCAAGAAAUUAUACAAAUUAACUAUUGACAAGGCACACACAUGUGAAUUGAAAAGCAUUCAAGGUGACCACCUCAUGAAUCUGAUGAGAGAAUGCCAUGAGUGUGUCAAGCGGUCAUCAAAGCUAAAUGUAGUUACUUUCAACGAUCUAAAUUAUAAAACAUAUUCUGGGUUGUUUAAAUUUUUUUAUUAAUUCUUUGCAUGUUAUUUCAUAGUUUGGAUGUCUUCAGUAUUAAUGUACAAUGUUGAAUAUAAUAAAACUAAAGAAAAUCAACUAAA